AGUACCUCCACACCUUAUAAGCAAAUGAAAAAGAGACACUUUUACCCUUGAUUCUGAGAUGUUGAGGAAUGUAGGUCCAAGGAUGAUCUUAGAAAAAAACUCAAGGUAACUAUUAAUGAAAUUAAAAAUAGGCCAUGUGCCUUCACAAAAAGCAGAGAAAACAAGAAAAAUAGAAACAAAGAAGGUUUAAAAAUGAAGCUAAAAACACUAAAUAAACUAAAUGAAUGCAUUAAAUCAUAAAUAAAGUGUAUUAAAAUCUCUGUGAAAUUGUUAAAAAAAAACCCGGUGUCAUUAAUAUUACAUUCUUUCCUGUUUCUGUCACUUGCUGACUUGUUUCUUAGUAUUGUUCUGUAACUCCAUUAAGCUUCCGUUAUCCAAUCUGCUAAAUGGGAAUAAUAAAACCUGCGUUGUUCAGAAGACUAAGUCUUUAUGUAAACAAGAUUCAAUCCUUGAAGAAAAAGCACUGAUUCAAAGAGCCUAUAGAUAUUUAAUGGCCAAUCAGUAUUGCUCAGAGGGGAUCUCCUUGGCUUCAUGCAUCAACUGGGUAAGUACUCAAUAGGUUUUUAUUACGUUCCGAGCCCUGUACUCCUUUAGCCACUUCUAGAAUCCAUUU
RNAcentral lists this long non-coding RNA (613 nucleotides) under Vulpes vulpes (red fox). RNAcentral's name for it is "lncRNA (ENSVVUG00000028167.1)". The record is from RNAcentral. Lineage: Eukaryota; Metazoa; Chordata; Mammalia; Carnivora; Canidae.